UACGUAGGUGGCAAGCGUUGUCCGGAUUUACUGGGCGUAAAGAGCGCGCAGGCGGUCGUUUAAGUCGAAUGUGAAAGCCCCCGGCUCAACUGGGGAGGGUCAUUCGAUACUGAUCGACUUGAAGGCAGGAGAGAGAAGUGGAAUUCCCGGUGUAGUGGUGAAAUGCGUAGAUAUCGGGAGGAACACCAGUGGCGAAGGCGACUUCUUGGCCUGUUCUUGACGCUGAGGCGCGAAAGCUAGGGUAGCAAACGGG
Molecule: ribosomal RNA, 253 nt
Filed under: uncultured bacterium
Lineage: Bacteria
Description: partial 16S ribosomal RNA
Rfam family: Bacterial small subunit ribosomal RNA
Source: RNAcentral